Hippopotamus amphibius kiboko is the source of this 359-nucleotide long non-coding RNA. RefSeq lists it as uncharacterized. The transcript is spliced from 3 exons. The record is from RefSeq and is a predicted model, not a curated record. Lineage: Eukaryota; Metazoa; Chordata; Mammalia; Artiodactyla; Hippopotamidae.
CAAGUUAGAAGAUGUUCCAGUCAGACAGACAUGGAAACAGUGAGACAUAGAAACCGCUCUAAGGAAAUUCACACGGUUUGGUGUUGGUGAACGUGAGCCACUCCCUCAAACUUUUGGAAGACAACAGUUCUUUGCUGAGACUUAUUUAAAGGAAACACCUCCAGGUCUUUGAAUUGCUGUACACAUGCCGUGGUUUUGCAUCCCUCUCUCAAGUACUUCGGUUGAUUUCUAUCCCAUGUGCACUGUAGUGCCAAGAAUUAAAGUCAAGUUAUGUGUCUACACGAGAGGAUGGAAAUUCACUAAACUUACGGUGAUAAUCCUUCCAUGAUGUAUGUAAGUCAAAUCAUGAUGAUGUACAC